UACGUAGGGUGCAAGCGUUAAUCGGAAUUACUGGGCGUAAAGCGUGCGCAGGCGGUGAUGUAAGACAGGUGUGAAAUCCCCGGGCUUAACCCUGGGAACUGCAUUUGUGACUGCAUCGCUGGAGUGCGGCAGAGGGGGAUGGAAUUCCGCGUGUAGCACGUGAAAUGCGUAGAUAUGCGGAGGAACACCGAUGGCGAAGG
This 200-nucleotide ribosomal RNA is filed under the name uncultured bacterium. RNAcentral describes it as "partial 16S ribosomal RNA". It matches the Rfam family "Bacterial small subunit ribosomal RNA", at positions 524 to 721 of the family's 1533-position model. The record is from RNAcentral.